Molecule: ribosomal RNA, 458 nt
Filed under: uncultured bacterium
Lineage: Bacteria
Description: bacterial SSU rRNA
Rfam family: Bacterial small subunit ribosomal RNA
Source: RNAcentral
UACGGAAGGCAGCAGUGGGGAAUAUUGCACAAUGGGCGAAAGCCUGAUGCAGCUAUGCCGCGUGUAUGAAGAAGGCCUUAGGGUUGUAAAGUACUUUCAUCGGGGAGGAAAAAACAAAACUAAUAAUUUUAUUUCUUGACGUUACCCGAAAAAGAAGCACCGGCUAACUCCGUGCCAGCAGCCGCGGUAAUACGGAGGGUGCUAGCGUUAAUCAGAAUUACUGGGCGUAAAGAGCACGUAGGUGGUUUUUUUAAGUCAGAUGUGAAAUCCCUGGGCUUAACCUAGGAACUGCAUUUUGAAACUGAAAUACUAGAGUAUCGUAGAGGGAGGUAGAAUUCUAGGUGUAGCGGUUGAAAUGCGUAGAUAUCUGGAGGAAUACCUGUGGCGAAAGCGGCCUCCUAAACGAAUACUGACACUGAGGUGCGAAAGCGUGGGGAGCAAACGAGGGAUUAGAUACC